RNAcentral lists this ribosomal RNA (505 nucleotides) under Cyclophorus sp. NHMUK 20130851. RNAcentral describes it as "partial 16S ribosomal RNA". It matches the Rfam family "Bacterial large subunit ribosomal RNA", at positions 1819 to 2597 of the family's 2925-position model. RNAcentral also lists the same sequence under 1 other name. The record is from RNAcentral. Lineage: Eukaryota; Metazoa; Mollusca; Gastropoda; Architaenioglossa; Cyclophoridae.
GUCUCUUUGAUAUAAUAUAAGGAGUCUGGCCUGCCCGGUGACAUGGUUUAACGGCUGCAGUAUCCUGACUGUGCAAAGGUAGCAUAAUAACUUGCCUUUUAAUUGGAGGAUAGAAUCAAUGGCUUGACGAGAGCAAAGCUGUCUUUUUUGUUUUUAUUAAAAUUUAUCUUUCAAGUUAAAAGACUUGAAUUUAACUAAAAGACGAUAAGACCCUAUUGAGCUUUAAAGGAGCAAAAUAAUUAUUUAUUAUUAGCAAAAUUGGUAGUGAUUUUGAGAAAUUUUAGUUGGGGCGACUGCGGAGUAUAAAAAACCUCCGAAUUAGGAAACUAAUUUCGGUUUCUGAUCCAUAAUUUAUGAUAAGUGGAAUUAGUUACCAUAGGGAUAACAGCGCACUACUUUUAAGGAGACCACAUUUUUAAAGGAGAUCGCGACCUCGAUGUUGGAUUAAAGUAUACUGAAAGGCGCAGAAGCUUUUUAAGUUAGUCUGUUCGACUAUUAAAUCUUU